This 526-nucleotide ribosomal RNA is filed under the name uncultured bacterium. RNAcentral describes it as "partial 16S ribosomal RNA". It matches the Rfam family "Bacterial small subunit ribosomal RNA", at positions 355 to 872 of the family's 1533-position model. The record is from RNAcentral.
UAGGGAAUCUUCCACAAUGGACGCAAGUCUGAUGGAGCAACGCCGCGUGAGUGAAGAAGGUUUUCGGACCGUAAAGCUCUGUUGUUGGUGAAGAAGGAUAGAGGUAGUAACUGGCCUUUAUUUGACGGUAAUCAACCAGAAAGUCACGGCUAACUACGUGCCAGCAGCCGCGGUAAUACGUAGGUGGCAAGCGUUGUCCGGAUUUAUUGGGCGUAAAGCGAGCGCAGGCGGAAGAAUAAGUCUGAUGUGAAAGCCCUCGGCUUAACCGAGGAAUUGCAUCGGAAACUGUUUUCUUGAGUGCAGAAGAGGAGAGUAGAACUCCAUGUGUAGCGGUGGAAUGCGUAGAUAUAUGGAAGAAUACCAGUGGCGAAGGCGGCUCUCUGGUCUGCAACUGACGCUGAGGCUCGAAAGCAUGGGUAGCGAACAGGAUUAGAUACCCUGGUAGUCCAUGCCGUAAAACGAUGAGUGCUAAGUGUUGGGAGGCUUCCGCCUCUCAGUGCUGCAGCUAACGCAUUAAGCACUCCGC